GCCAUCCUGAAGGCUGUUCUAGACAGGCUGAGCCCCAGCUCCCACCUCUUCCCUGCCUCCGUGUGGGCAGAGUGGUUCCAGCAUCAGCUCCCCCUGCUCCUCCCGUUUGUGACGACAACCACCCUUGCCAGACUCAGCACCAAUAUCUCCUGUGACUCCUACCAUGCUGUAGUGAAGGGAUUCAGUGAAGUUUAUGAAUCUCUCUCAGCCACAGCAAGAAGGGACAUCUAUAAUGAGUACAUGAGGAAAUAUUUGUUACAACAAACUGGCUCCACAGCAGGAUCAGUCUGCCCAGGAAACACAAGUAGGUCAGAUAACUGGCUGGCCAAGAACUUGGGCAAGUUUUCAUCCAAUGCUCCCUUCAGGGAUCUGGACACAUUCUACCCCAAUAUUACUUCGGGGAUUGAAGCCUUCACAGACCUCCUUUCAGAGGAAACCUUUCAGACAUUAGGAGGCUUGGCUGUUGGGUUAACACCAUCUGUGAUCCUGAAUAAGGCAGAUGGUCAGAUGCUGAAUAGGACACUCUCAGUUUUGUCUACCAUCACUGACUGGAGCCCUGCCCAGGCUUCUAUCAUUAUGAAGAAGCUCCUUCAAAAUGGACUUCAGCUCACACAAGCUAGAGAUGUACUAGCCCUGGGAACCCUGGUAUCUGGACUCCCCUCUGGUGAUGUGAGCCAGCUGACUGAUAAUGCCAUCCUUGAGCUUGCAGCAGAUGAGAAUUUCAUCAACAUCCUCCAAGAGGCCCCAGAGUCCCUACAACAUGUAUUUGUACAUAGGAUCUUACAAAGUAAUGAAGGAAAAACUGUUCCCAGUAUUCCAGCUGGUCUGGCCUCCCAGAUCCCCAUGUCUCAGCUGCUCUCCUCCCAGAUGGAUAUUAAUGAGAUCAACAAAAUGCUGUGGACACCUGCCCAGGUAAUUUCCAUCAAUGUGACUAUCCUUUGAGAGGUAGAUAUGGAGAUGGGAGGGAA
Molecule: long non-coding RNA, 968 nt
Filed under: Monodelphis domestica (gray short-tailed opossum)
Lineage: Eukaryota; Metazoa; Chordata; Mammalia; Didelphimorphia; Didelphidae
Description: lncRNA (ENSMODG00000046860.1)
Source: RNAcentral